Non-coding RNA from Acanthosepion pharaonis, 104 nucleotides. NCBI's taxonomy places the organism in Eukaryota, Metazoa, Mollusca, Cephalopoda, Sepiida, Sepiidae. The record is from the annotation of a GenBank genome assembly.
UUACGGCCAUAUCACAUUGAAACACCGAUUCUCGUCGAUCACCGAAGUUAAGCAACUGGUCAGUACUCAGAUGGGUGACCACUGGGGAAUUAAUGGAAGCUGGA